This 299-nucleotide small nuclear RNA is filed under the name Chinchilla lanigera (long-tailed chinchilla). Its description in RNAcentral is "7SK RNA (ENSCLAG00000021874.1)". It matches the Rfam family "7SK RNA". From Rfam's summary of the family: 7SK was discovered as an abundant small nuclear RNA in the mid-70s but a possible function has only recently been suggested. Two independent studies have found that 7SK RNA binds the CDK9/cyclin T complex (known as elongation factor P-TEFb). Lineage: Eukaryota; Metazoa; Chordata; Mammalia; Rodentia; Chinchillidae. The record is from RNAcentral.
GGAUGUGAGGGCAAUCUGGGUGCUACAUCUGUCACCCCACUGAUCGCCAGGGUUGAUUCGGCUGAUCUGGCUGGCUGGGCGGGUGGCCCCUUCCUCCCUCACCUCUCCAUGUGAGUCCCUCCAGAAGCUGCAUGUUCUGUCUGUCGAAGAGGACAGCACCCCUGAUGAAGGAGGACCUUUUCCCUGGUCAGCGGUAUAUGAGCAGCCGCACUUCCCUGCUAGAACCUCCGAACAAGCUCUCAAAUUCCAUUCCAGUGGCUAUUUCCCUUUGGACCUCCAGAAUAGACAAGACUAAGUAU